CUGAAACUGCUGGCUCUGCCAUGUCUGCAGAGUGGUAGCCUGAUCCAAUCACAGUGCUUCCCCAUAGGAUUGACUGAGACUGACAAGGAGGCAGAUCAGGGGCAGAGCCAGCAUGAUUCAAACACAGCCCUGGCCAAUCAGCAUCUCCUUAUAGAGAUGAAUUAAAUCAAUGAUUCUCUAUGAGGAAAGUUCAGUGUCUGCAUGCAGAGGGAGGAGACACUGAAUGUUUGGAUGCAUUUUAGUCAGCCAUGACCAAGGAAGCAUCUCUAAUAGCCAUCUGAGGAGUGGCCAGUGAAGUUAUCACAAGACUGUAAUGUAAACACUGCAUUUUCUCUGAAAAGACGAAGUUUGCAGCAAAAAGCCUGAAGGUAAUGAUUCUACACACCAGAACAAAUUCAAUAAGCUGGAGUUGUUCUGGUGACUAUAGUGUCCCUAUAAACCUCAAUCUCAUCUCCAAACCCCACAAUCUCUUCACCAGCCCCACCUGUCUAUUCUUCAGCCCGGUGUGAUGUCCACCUCAUUACUAUCCCCAUCUCAUUGCCAGCUCCCCUAUGUUAACUUGCCUUCCCAUCUCCUCUCCAGUUCCCAAAUCUCAUUCUAAACUCGAAGCAGUCCCAACUCAUUUUCAGCACCAUAUACCUUGCUUCAUUCAGUCAGUGCUCUGUCGUGGUGUCUUGCUACACAAGAGUGGGUUUAACUACUAAAUUGUGCUUUAUUGCUUAUAACCCAGCUUUAUUUGAUUACUCAGAUUUUCUGUGUUCCUUGGUUUGCUUUACCGUUCUAUUGUACGUAUGUAAUUGUUUACCUUGGCCUGACUAUGCUUUAGCUGCUUGCAGGGGUGUUUCACACUACAGAGGCCCUGCGUUAAAUCCAUGAACUCUUAAGGACUGGUAAUAAAUGUUUAUUAUUCC
This is a non-coding RNA of Pelobates cultripes (western spadefoot toad), 911 nucleotides long. The record is from the annotation of a GenBank genome assembly. NCBI's taxonomy places the organism in Eukaryota, Metazoa, Chordata, Amphibia, Anura, Pelobatidae.